This 349-nucleotide ribosomal RNA is filed under the name Galeommatoidea sp. UF305072. Its description in RNAcentral is "partial 16S ribosomal RNA". It matches the Rfam family "Bacterial large subunit ribosomal RNA", at positions 1862 to 2515 of the family's 2925-position model. Lineage: Eukaryota; Metazoa; Mollusca; Bivalvia; Galeommatida. The record is from RNAcentral.
CCCGGUGAUUUAUUAAACGGCCGCAGUUAGGAGCUGUGCUAAGGUAGCGUAGUAAGUUGUCCUUUAAAUGGGGAAAGGAAUGAAUGGUUUGACGUGGGAGAGCCUGUCUCGGAUGGAAGUAAAGAAAUUUUCUUUCCGGUGAAAAGCCCGGAAUUUAGUUAAAAGACGAGAAGACCCUUUCGAGCUUGAUUAGGUCUGAAAUAAGUUUCAACGCUAAAGUUUAGUUGGGGCAACUGAGGAGCAAGAGAAGACUCCUCGAGGGUAUGAGGAUCCAGAUGUUUUGAAUUGAGAAAAAGCUACCGUAGGGAUAACAGCGUUAUCUUUUCUGAGAGAACAUAUUGAAGAGAAG